GCAGUAGAAGUUAUGGGGCCUUAGUGCCUAAGUUGAUGGUCAAGUGUUAGGCCUCAAGCCUCUAAACCCACAAUGCCAGUUGGCAUAUGACAUGCUUAUACGUUUCUGGCCUGUGUAAGGACUUUUCUUCCACACCCUUUGUAACCGAGACGGCUUGGGCGAACUCGAGAUCAUCUCACACCAAACCACCAGUUCUUUUCUUUUCUUUUCUUCUUUAUUAUUGAAUGCUUGGGGAAUUGCAGAGUACAUCUACGCAUAGUGUUUUUAAAGUAGUGCACAUGAAAAACAUUGGUUCUGUCGUGUGCCAUUAAUACACAUCUCCAUGUGUUUUGUGGUCAACAGCGAUUUUCUCUAUUUCCUUUUUCUCAUUACCUUGGUUAUGGUUCUCUCUGCCAUUCUAUCAGUUUAUCUACUGUAUAUGAUGUCCGAAACCCGGAGUGUCCUGUGAUGGUUGAGCGCAUCAACGCGUGGCCGUGUUGGAGUCCGAAUUCUCUCUUGCUGUGCUGGGAACAACAUCUCACCUAAGCAAGCCCCUUAACCCCUUGACCUCCUUUCCUCGUUCUAUCAACCUCCCAGCAAAUGCACCGUCAACACAAUAGCCAGAGAUAUUCAUUUGCCACAUCUUUGCGUUUCUUAACGUUUUCCUUAUCGUAGUCCGUCUACCUUUCCGUCUAUAUUACAUUCACAAUGGGAUUUCCACCCAGAGGGACAGAGACCAUUUCCAAGCCCAUUCUCCACGUCGAAGCACGUAUCAGGAAUGAGGGAAACAUCAUUGUCCGGACAGACAUCGUGGGUGCUUAGUUUGAUCCAUCGAUUACACACCACUCUGUCAUUUCUGCUCUUUUUAUAAUGAUAUCUAAACAUGAACAAAAAUAUCCUUACACAAAUAGGUCCGCGAUGAAGUCACAAAAUGGCUCCUGGAAACUUUCGCUGUCCUAAGCCUGGGACAGGAGAUAACCUCCUUCUGUGAGACAGCAGACCGAACCUGUGAAAAUCAUUAUAAUUAAUCCAUCUGAAUUUCCACGGCAGUCAAGACUGACCAAAAACCAAACAAAAAAUAAACAGCGGACCUAACGGAUACUUACUGCCAAUAUCUCGACGUGGUAAAGGUGAUGGAAUGCGCAGGGCCCCAGCAGCAGAGCGGUGCAUACCGACUUGAGGACGUCGAAUUGGACGUGCAAGCAUACCAGCUGCAUGGAUCUGAGAGCAUAAACGACUCGCCGCAGCCGACGUAUGCUGACGUCAAUGGGAAAAG
RNAcentral lists this small RNA (1255 nucleotides) under Histoplasma capsulatum var. duboisii H88. RNAcentral's name for it is "Histoplasma capsulatum H88 hypothetical RNA". Lineage: Eukaryota; Fungi; Ascomycota; Eurotiomycetes; Onygenales; Ajellomycetaceae. The record is from RNAcentral.